Molecule: transfer RNA, 70 nt
Filed under: Marmosa murina (murine mouse opossum)
Lineage: Eukaryota; Metazoa; Chordata; Mammalia; Didelphimorphia; Didelphidae
Description: tRNA-Trp
Rfam family: tRNA
About the family: Transfer RNA (tRNA) molecules are approximately 80 nucleotides in length. Their secondary structure includes four short double-helical elements and three loops (D, anti-codon, and T loops). Further hydrogen bonds mediate the characteristic L-shaped molecular structure. tRNAs have two regions of fundamental functional importance: the anti-codon, which is responsible for specific mRNA codon recognition, and the 3' end, to which the tRNAs corresponding amino acid is attached (by aminoacyl-tRNA synthetases). tRNAs cope with the degeneracy of the genetic code in two manners: having more than one tRNA (with a specific anti-codon) for a particular amino acid; and 'wobble' base-pairing, i.e. permitting non-standard base-pairing at the 3rd anti-codon position.
Source: RNAcentral
AAGGGCUUAGGCUAAAUUUAGACCAAAGGCCUUCAAAGCCUUAAGCAGGUGAUAAACCACCUAGCCCUUA